GAACCUUUCUACGUCCUCCAUCUUGGAGGAUGUAAUAGGGUCAUCAAUAAGCACAAUCCCCUUGACAAUUUCAGAGUUUUCUGAGUAUCUCUUAUAGCUAUGAAAAUUUAAAGGGAAAAAAACUUAUGAACUGAGAGGAUCUUGGGUUAUCAGAGUGGACAUCAGGACCUAAGUGUUCAUGAUGAAAUUAAGCAAGAAAUGUUGAUCAUCAGAUGAUGCUCUGGCAGAGCCUUUAAAAGGAGUAUUAGUCAACUUGAGGUCCAUGCUUCAAGCUAAGCUUCUCUUCCAGCUAGAAUGGUUUCUGAGCUGACUUGCACGGGGAAGUACAUGAG
RNAcentral lists this unclassified non-coding RNA (332 nucleotides) under Hevea brasiliensis (rubber tree). Lineage: Eukaryota; Viridiplantae; Streptophyta; Magnoliopsida; Malpighiales; Euphorbiaceae. The record is from RNAcentral.